GACGAACGCUGGCGGCGUGCUUAACACAUGCAAGUCGAACGAAGUGGCGAACGGGUGAGUAACGCGUAAUCAACCUGCCCUUCAGAGGGGGACAACAGUUGGAAACGAUUGCUAAUACCGCAUACUGAAGGUGGGGAUUGCGUCUGAUUAGGUAGUUGGAGGGGUAACGGCCCACCAAGGCGAUGAUCAGUAGCCUGGCUGGAGGGAUGAACGGCCACAGUGGGACUGGGACACGGCCCAGACUCCUACGGGAGGCAGCAGUGGGGAAUCUUCCGCAAAGGACGAAAGGCUGACGGAGCAACGCCGCGGGAGUGAUGACGGCUUUCGGGUUGGAAAGCUCUGUUAAUCGGGACGCGGUACCGGAAUAGAAAGCCACGGCUAACUACGUGCCAGCAGCCGCGGUAAUUC
RNAcentral lists this ribosomal RNA (408 nucleotides) under uncultured bacterium. RNAcentral's name for it is "partial 16S ribosomal RNA". It matches the Rfam family "Bacterial small subunit ribosomal RNA", at positions 28 to 526 of the family's 1533-position model. The record is from RNAcentral.